UUCCUUCUUAUAGAUUGUGGGCCUUUUUCCUCUCUCUGUAAACACAAUCUCCUCUCCAACCCUAAAACGGCCGCUCAUCUCCCUUCUUUCGUCUGCGAGCCGUGCUUUUGAACAGAGAAAAGAUGUCAAUUUCAUUCGUCCAGUUACACGACCUUCCUUUUGAACCUGAAUGGUUUGUUUUGUUCGACCAACCGUUUCACCACCUCGUCUCCGCUGUGUUGAGCUGUUUGUGAUAAGAACCACCGUGCCGGCGUUCAUAUGGCUACCAUGAGCUUCAUUUCAUCUUCUUCAAGGUGAGGUGGAACAAAAACUCAUUUCGUUCUUGUUUAUUGAAGAAAUAGACUGAGAACUUUUUCUCCAUUCAGUCCUAUACGGCGGUUUCAGUUUUUUCUGAUAUUAGAAAUGAAAUGCAGGGUAAAAAAUUUAGGAUCCUGGAGACGAGAAACUAUAAAUUAAUAAGGACUUUGUGAAAGUGUAUCUGUGCUUGCUUCUUAGUAAUAAUAUUGAUUUGCUUAUGCUUGGAGUGAAGUUCCUGGAAGAGUUAGAACUGCCGUUAGGUUGUGCCUGAGGAAUGCCGAGUAAUCAGUGUGUUGAAUUGCAGCCGGAGGUAUGUGAUUUAUUGCUUGUUGUAGAUAUAUUUUCUUUGUUGGACAGUUGAUUAUACUUGUUUCUCUACUGUCAUGUGUGUUAUGGUAGCGAGGCAUUUAUAUUAUAUUAUUAUAUUUUUUUUAAAAAAAUACUAUAUUAUUACAUUUAAAAUCUCAAACUAUUGUAUCGUAGAUUGGUGUAGUAAUUGAGCAAAAUAUUACUAAUGUUUUUAUCUUCCGGGUGACUUUAGAGUUUGGGAAUCUAAAUUGGCAUAAUAUUAUUUAUUUAUUAAAAGGUUAUAAUUUUCUAUUUAGAGUGUAUAUCACUUUUUUAAAAGAAAAUUUGACCAUAAUUAGGGGUGUUCGCGGUGCGGUUUGGAUGGUUUCUGCGAUAAAAAAUCAUCCAAACCUCAAGAGAAAAAAGGAUGCGGUUCGAUUUGGUUCGAUUGACUUUUAAAAAUAAAACCAAACCAAAUCAAUGCGGUUUGGGUUGGUUCGGUUGGUUCGAUUUUUUAUAAUAUUUUUAUUGAGCCAUAUAUACUCCUAUAAAUAAGACAUAACUUUGUGUUUAGUCAUUCUUACGUUACUAAAUAACAUCAAAAUUCAUCAUAUUUAGACAAAAAUAAAAACUUAUCAUUCAAUAUACAAAAAAUCAGAUUAGACAAAAGUGGAAUAAAAGACAAAUAUAAAUAGUAGCAUAAAAUAAUAUUAAAGACAUUGUAAUAAAACAUAAAAAAAACAUAUGAGAUGAGAGAUUAGAUAAGAUGAAAAAAAGAAUAUAAGAGAUGCGAGAUUGAGAAGAAAAGUGCAAUAAAAACGUAAUUGGAAGAAAAAAUAGUAACAUAAAAGAUAAAAAAGAAAGAACAUAAUAGAUGACUUAUUAGAGUAGAAUAAGCGAGACCUACAUGGAAAAUAAGAUGAGAAGAAUGUGUGAUACUAUUAUGAGAGAUUUAAGAAGGUUGAAAUUGAAACCCUAAGUGUGAUUAAGAGAAAAUCGUUUGUAAUUGUAAGGUUAAGGCAUACUAGGUUUGAGGUUUGGGUUGGAUGUGGGAUAAGUGAACUUUGGGUUGUAACAUAAUGCGGUUUGGUUUGGUUUAGUUCGGUUUGCAAAAUACAAACCGCAAACCAAACCAAACCGUGCGGUUUUAUUAAAAAAUGACCCAAAUGAAUCCGAACCAAAUACGAUUUUUUGCGGUUUCGAUUUGGUUUGGUUUGGAUUGCGAUUUUCUAUUGGGUUGGUUUGAUUUUGAACACACCUAACCAUUAUUAAUUACUUUGGAUUCAAACACUAGUGUAAUGUUGCCCAGAUUUGGCUUUUAAUUGGUUUCAUGAAAAAGGCCGUCAAAGAAUUAUGAUUUGCCUUAUGUUCUAUUAUUAUGUUUUGAUAAGGGCUAGAAUCUAAAACAUAAUCUAAAACUAUGAAUUUAAGAUGUGUAAUGUUAUUGUAAUGAUAAAUGGAGUUUAGAUGGAGAUGUUUGGGUAAGUGUUAAAUAUCAAUAUUGGUGAUGAGUCAUUUUAAAAAAGUAAUAUGUGUUGAUAUAAAGGAAAUUGGAUUAGACUUUAAACAACUCUAUGGAAAUUGUUAUUAGAUAAACAAGGAGGAUGAUAGUUGUGCCUUUUUUUCUUUUAUAGGAAAUGCAUUGUCACUUGUCGUAAUACUUUUACAAUGUAAAUAAAUUCUUUUUCUUAUCUACAUGUUAUUACAUCUUUGACGUGUUAUCUGAUUAACAUUUAUUGAAUCGAUAGGGACUCUGGAUUAAGGUGUGAGAAACAUAAUCGUUUAAUCUUGUGGAUCUUUGGAGUAAAGACUCUUGCGUAGAAGUUCUACUCGCAACUGUAAGUGCCCUUUCUAACAAUAUUAUACAUGAUUAAAUCCAUGUGUGUUUGUAUGCAUGAUUGUAUGAUUGUGCAAGUAUAAUUAUUUAAUUAGUUUAAUGUUAUAAUUUAAAGAAUAUUUUAUUUAUCUAUCAUAAUUUUAAUGCAUAUAUAUAUUUUACAGGAUUAAUGUACUUUUGGUCCUCCUAAUUUAGUUAUCUAUCAUAGUUUUUAUGCAUAUAUAUAUAUAUAUAUAUAUAUAUAUAUAUAUAUAUAUAUAUAUAUAUAUAUAUUUUUUUUUUUUUUUAUAGGCUUAAAUGUACCUUUGUGACUUGGAUGUCAUCUGAGCAUCUACAAACGAAGUGGUUUUUAUUUUAUUGUCAAAGGGUGCUAGGUGUGCAUAUAUCCCUUUUAGAGGUAAAUCACGGAGUGAAUUAAAGGUUAUUACACUAUGUGUUAAUGGAAACCACUGUGUGAAGAUAUUUAAUUGUUUAGAUUUUCUUUGGUUGUCUGAAAUAAUUUGUGGUUUCUUUAUCUAAAAAUGAAUAUUAUUUAUUGAUUCGGUACUUUUGCACUUUCUUUUAAAGGCGAUAUAUCCCAUACCUUCUGUAGAUCUCCAAUGGAGUUAUGAUCAUUUUAUUGAACAUAGAAAGAAGACUUCAAAUAGUAUAGUAGUUUGAGAAGCUGAAGAAUACCAUUUUUAAGAAAAAAAAAAUACCAUUUUUAAGAAAAAAAGAAUACCAUUUUUAAGAAAAAAAGAAUCACUAGCUAGAUAAUAAACCUGGAAUCAAAACCACUCAAAUGGGAUAACAUAAUGGAUAUCAAAAUCACUCAAAUCAAAACCACUCAAAUGGGAUAACAUAAUGGACAAUGAGCAGAAUAAAAAACUCAGGCCCAGGUUGCCUCAUGUUUGUUAAAAAACUAAAUUAUUUUGAGGUAUGAAAAUAACACUUUACUCUUUAUAUAGACAAAACUUAAUGUAAAUUCAACUUUUGAUAAUUAAUUGGUUCUCUUGGUUCUCUUUAAAAGAUUCCUUAAAUAUACAAUUUGACCAUCCAAUAGUUUGAAUUGGAAAAUGAUACAAUUUUACCAUUGGACAGGAUUAAUUUCCAAUAGUUUGAAUUGGAAAAUGAGUUUUAUACUUUUGGGUAUGAUAUAAACUUAAGUUCAACAAAUUAUAUUCUUUAAAUUCUUUGCACUCAUUUAUGAAUGUCAAAAAUAAACUAUUUUAUAUUCAAUUAGUUUUUAACUAUAUUUACCAAAACAUUUCAUUUAAAAUCAUGUUUCUGAAAUAAAUUUAAAAAUAUAACAUAAAUAUAAAAUCUUUAUUAUAAAAUGUCUUAAUAAAACUUAUUAGCACUUUAUCCACAAAAUCUUUAUUAUAAAAUGUCUUAAUAAAAUUUGGGCAACCUAGGCCAGAGUUUUUUAUUCUUAUUCUGCUCAUCGUACAUUACGUUAUUUUGAUUCCUGGUUUAUUAUUUACAUAGUGAUUUUUUUUUUUAAAAAUGGUAUUCUUUAGCUUCCUUCUCAAACUACUAUACUAUUCUUUAGCUUCCUUCUCAAACUUCUAGUUUGCUUCCUUCUCAAACUUCUAGUUUAUUAUCCACAUAGUGAUUCUUUUUUUUUUAAAAAUGGUAUUCUUUAGCUUCCUUCUCAAACUACUAUACUAUUCUUUAGCUUCCUUCUCAAACUUCUAUACUAUUUGGAGUCUUCUUUCUAUGUUCAAAUAUUUUCAAGCCUAUAAAAUGAUCAUGACCCCAUUGGGGAUCUACGGAAGUGCAAAAGUACCGAUUAAAUAAAUAGACCACAAAUGUAUUCAUUUUUAGAUAAAUAGACCACAAAUUAUCUCAGACAACUAAAGAAAAUCUAAAUAACUAAAUAUCUUCGCAAAAUGGUUUUCAUUUACAUAUAUCGUAAUAACCUUUAAUUUGUGAUUUACCUCUAAAAGGGAUAUAUGCACACCUAACUCAGGUCCUAGAUUGUUUAAACUUAGAUCCAUAAAACUCUAAAAGGGAUAUAUGCACACCUAACUCAGGUCCUAGAUUGUUUAAACUUAGAUCCAUAAAAACUCAGAUCCAUCGGGUCCUAGAUUGUUUAAACUUAGAUCCAUAAAAACUCAUAUUUUAAGGUAAAUUGUUUCAUUGAAAAUCUUUAGUAUUAUUUUUUAUUUUGAUCAUCCAUUUUAUCAUGGCGACACCUCUGGUUAAUCCUCUUGCGGUUUCAUAGAUAGAGCAACAAUUUACUCUUGACUCUGACUCUAUUAAUAAUUUAGGCAGGACGACAUAUGUGGUUACAGUCGUGAAACAUCAAUUUACUAUUUAUGUGGUUCCAGUCACAUAUCAUCAAUUUAUUUUUGACUUUGUUAAUAUGAUUAUUUCUUUUAAUGCUUUUUAUCAUUUACCCAAUCCAAUUCUUUCUUGAUUUUAAAUAAUAUUGCAAUUAUGUUUUCUUCUCUUUCUUUCAACAUUUUCUUUAUUUUUUUUAUGUUCUUUAAGUAAAUUAAUUUUAGAUUUUCUUAAUAAUGAAGGCGUGUCAGUCUUGAAUGGAGUACUAGAGUUUAUAAACAAUAUCAUUCAUUAAAUUUUUUUUUAAGAUUUUGAAGGAUGAUAAGAUAAAAAUUCUUGAUCAGAUUAAAAAUGAUAAUAAUGUCCAUCUCAUUUGCUUUGUGUGUGGCAAUAACUAUUGAAAUGAACAUUAUUAUCAUUUUUAAUUUGAUUGAAAUUUUUUAUCUCUUCAUCCUUUGAAAUUCUUUU
Molecule: long non-coding RNA, 5155 nt
Filed under: Lathyrus oleraceus (garden pea)
Lineage: Eukaryota; Viridiplantae; Streptophyta; Magnoliopsida; Fabales; Fabaceae
Description: Pisum sativum (pea) long non-coding RNA (PSAT_LNC010179)
Source: RNAcentral